CAAGGGAGUUUAGCUAUUAAAAUAUGAACAGAUGGCCUCACCUAUCAGAUGGUUCCUGGCCCUGAGAAGUUCCUCUAGCCUUCCCUCUACGUCCCUCAGAUCUCUCCUCGGUAAAAUACGUAACAUCUUGCACAAAGGCUGUCACAUCACAUCCGCUGCAGUCAAAGGAUUCAUUUAGCGGCCCCCUCUCCUCCCAGCCAUGGGAGGAUCAAGCAGGAGAUUGUAGUCUGCAAACUAGGAAGAAGACCCUCACCAUAUACCAGGUCUGCCAGCACCUCGACCUUGGACUCCCUAGCCUCCAGAACCCGCCAACAACAAUGCGUCAGACAACCAUGACCAAGAGACCCAGAGGAGUCCCUCGCUGGCCCAUGGAAUUCACAGUCUAGCAGGAGAAACAAACGACUU
This is a long non-coding RNA of Callorhinus ursinus (northern fur seal), 405 nucleotides long. RefSeq lists it as uncharacterized. Lineage: Eukaryota; Metazoa; Chordata; Mammalia; Carnivora; Otariidae. The record is from RefSeq and is a predicted model, not a curated record.